GGGAAUCUUCCGCAAUGGACGAAAGUCUGACGGAGCAACGCCGCGUGAGUGAAGAAGGUUGUCGGAUCGUAAAGCUCUUUCGUUAGGGACGAACGUGCUCUUUGUGAAUAAUGAGGAGUAAUGACGGUACCUAAAUAAGAAGCCACGGCUAACUACGUGCCAGCAGCCGCGGUACUACGUAGGUGGCAAGCUUUGUCCGGUAUUUCUGGGCGUAACGCGCGCGCAGGCGGGCUAUCAAGUCUGUCUUAAAAGUGCGAGGCUCAACCUCGUGAGGGCACUGAAACUGUGAUUCUUGAGUAUCGGAGAGCAGAGUGGAAUUCCAAGUGUAGCGGUGAUAUGCGUAGAGAUUUGGAAGAACCCCCGUGGCGAAGGCUACUUUCUGGACGAUGUCU
Molecule: ribosomal RNA, 392 nt
Filed under: uncultured bacterium
Lineage: Bacteria
Description: bacterial SSU rRNA
Rfam family: Bacterial small subunit ribosomal RNA
Source: RNAcentral